RNAcentral lists this ribosomal RNA (1226 nucleotides) under metagenome. RNAcentral's name for it is "bacterial SSU rRNA". It matches the Rfam family "Bacterial small subunit ribosomal RNA", at positions 104 to 1325 of the family's 1533-position model. The record is from RNAcentral.
GGGUGAGUAAUACAUCGGAACGUGCCCUGAAGUGGGGGAUAACGUAGCGAAAGUUACGCUAAUACCGCAUAUUCUGUGAGCAGGAAGGCAGGGGAUCGCAAGACCUUGUGCUUUAGGAGCGGCCGAUGUCGGAUUAGCUAGUUGGUGAGGUAAAGGCUCACCAAGGCGACGAUCCGUAGCGGGUCUGAGGGGAUGAUCCGCCACACUGGGACUGGGACACGGCCCAGACUCCUACGGGAGGCAGCAGUGGGGAAUUUUGGACAAUGGGCGCAAGCCUGAUCCAGCCAUGCCGCGUGAGUGAAGAAGGCCUUCGGGUUGUAAAGCUCUUUCGGCGGGGAAGAAAUUGCUUCGGCUAAUAUCCGGAGUAGAUGACGGUACCCGCAUAAGAAGCACCGGCUAACUACGUGCCAGCAGCCGCGGUAAUACGUAGGGUGCGAGCGUUAAUCGGAAUUACUGGGCGUAAAGCGUGCGCAGGCGGUUGUAUAAGUCAGAUGUGAAAUCCCCGGGCUCAACCUGGGAACUGCAUUUGAGACUGUACGGCUAGAGUGUAGCAGAGGGGGGUAGAAUUCCACGUGUAGCAGUGAAAUGCGUAGAGAUGUGGAGGAAUACCGAUGGCGAAGGCAGCCCCCUGGGUUACUACUGACGCUCAUGCACGAAAGCGUGGGGAGCAAACAGGAUUAGAUACCCUGGUAGUCCACGCCCUAAACGAUGUCAACUAGGUGUUGGAAGGGUUAAACCUUUUAGUGCCGUAGCUAACGCGUGAAGUUGACCGCCUGGGGAGUACGGCCGCAAGGCUAAAACUCAAAGGAAUUGACGGGGACCCGCACAAGCGGUGGAUGAUGUGGAUUAAUUCGAUGCAACGCGAAAAACCUUACCUACCCUUGACAUGUCAGGAAUCCCGGAGAGAUUUGGGAGUGCUCGAAAGAGAACCUGAACACAGGUGCUGCAUGGCUGUCGUCAGCUCGUGUCGUGAGAUGUUGGGUUAAGUCCCGCAACGAGCGCAACCCUUGUCAUUAAUUGCCAUCAUUGAGUUGGGCACUUUAAUGAGACUGCCGGUGACAAACCGGAGGAAGGUGGGGAUGACGUCAAGUCCUCAUGGCCCUUAUGGGUAGGGCUUCACACGUCAUACAAUGGUCGGUUCAGAGGGUUGCCAACCCGCGAGGGGGAGCCAAUCUCAGAAAGCCGAUCGUAGUCCGGAUUGGAGUCUGCAACUCGACUCCAUGGAG